This 462-nucleotide ribosomal RNA is filed under the name uncultured bacterium. RNAcentral describes it as "bacterial SSU rRNA". It matches the Rfam family "Bacterial small subunit ribosomal RNA", at positions 338 to 792 of the family's 1533-position model. The record is from RNAcentral.
CCUACGGGACGCAGCAGUGGGGAAUAUUGCACAAUGGGCGCAAGCCUGAUGCAGCCAUGCCGCGUGUAUGAAGAAGGCCUUCGGGUUGUAAAGUACUUUCAGCGGGGAGGAAGGCGAUAAGGUUAAUAACCUUGUCGAUUGACGUUACCCGCAGAAGAAGCACCGGCUAACUCCGUGCCAGCAGCCGCGGUAAUACGGAGGGUGCAAGCGUUAAUCGGAAUUACUGGGCGUAAAGCGCACGCAGGCGGUCUGUCGAGUCGGAUGUGAAAUCCCCGGGCUCAACCUGGGAACUGCAUUAGAAACUGGCAGGCUGGAGUCUUGUAGUGGGGGGUAGAAUUCCAGGUGUAGCGGUGAAAUGCGUAGAGAUCUGGAGGAAUACCGGUGGCGAAGGCGGCCCCCUGGACAAAGACUGACGCUCAGGUGCGAAAGCGUGGGGAGCAAACAGGAUUAGAUACCCCGGUA